GAGAGUGCGAGGGGUCUGGCUGUGACGUCUGUCACCCCAGUGAUCACCAGGACUGAUCGGGGUGAUCUGGCUGGCUAGGCAGGUGUCCCCAUCCUCCCUCACCGCUCCACGUGCGUCCCUCCCAAAACUGUGCUCAGUCAGAGAGGACGGCCACCCCAAUGGAAGAGGACUGCUUUCUUAGUCAAGGGCACACAAGGGGCUGCACUGCCCCACUAGAACCUCCGAACAAGCUCCUGAGGGUCACAAACAGCAGGGGAAGAGGUAGAUCAUGCAUCUGAUAAGGAACCUUCACCCAGAAUGGGGAAUUCUUU
Molecule: small nuclear RNA, 311 nt
Filed under: Chinchilla lanigera (long-tailed chinchilla)
Lineage: Eukaryota; Metazoa; Chordata; Mammalia; Rodentia; Chinchillidae
Description: 7SK RNA (ENSCLAG00000022196.1)
Rfam family: 7SK RNA
About the family: 7SK was discovered as an abundant small nuclear RNA in the mid-70s but a possible function has only recently been suggested. Two independent studies have found that 7SK RNA binds the CDK9/cyclin T complex (known as elongation factor P-TEFb).
Source: RNAcentral